Molecule: ribosomal RNA, 480 nt
Filed under: uncultured bacterium
Lineage: Bacteria
Description: partial 16S ribosomal RNA
Rfam family: Bacterial small subunit ribosomal RNA
Source: RNAcentral
GACGAACGCUGGCGGCGCGCCUAAUACAUGCAAGUCGAGCGAUGAAACUAGAACAGUACUCUUCGGGGCGAAGAGACGGUCGAUUAGCGGCGGACGGGUUAGCAACACUUGAGUACUCUGCUUAAUACAUUGGGAUAGAGCUGGUAAAGCGGGAUUAAUACAAAAUCAAAUUACAAUAAUACAUGCCAUAAUUACUAAAACUCCGGUGGUCUAACAGGGACCCGUGUCGCAUUAGUUAGUUGGCAGAGUAAAAGCCUACCAAUGCGUGGACGGGUAGCCGGGCUGAGAGAGUGAGCGGAGACAUUGAAACUGAGCAGCGGUCCAGACUCCUACGGGAGGGGGGAGUGGGGGAUAGUGCACAAUGGAGGGAACUCUGAUGGAGCUACGCCGCGUGAACGAAGAAGGCUUGCGAGUCGUAAAGUUCUUGUAUCUGGGAAGGUAAUGACGGUACCAUAAGAGAAAGCCCCGGCUAACUACGUG